RNAcentral lists this ribosomal RNA (253 nucleotides) under uncultured bacterium. RNAcentral's name for it is "partial 16S ribosomal RNA". It matches the Rfam family "Bacterial small subunit ribosomal RNA", at positions 524 to 776 of the family's 1533-position model. The record is from RNAcentral.
UACGUAGGGCGCAAGCGUUGUCCGGAAUUAUUGGGCGUAAAGAGCUCGUAGGCGGCCUGUUGCGUCCGCUGUGAAAUCCCGGGGCUCAACCCCGGGCGUGCAGUGGAUACGGGCUGGCUGGAGGCAGGCAGGGGAGAACGGAAUUCCUGGUGUAGCGGUGAAAUGCGCAGAUAUCAGGAGGAACACCAAUGGCGAAGGCAGAUCUCUGGGCCGUAACUGACGCUGAGGAGCGAAAGCAUGGGGAGCGAACAGG